Molecule: ribosomal RNA, 1500 nt
Filed under: metagenome
Description: bacterial SSU rRNA
Rfam family: Bacterial small subunit ribosomal RNA
Source: RNAcentral
AGGGUUUGAUCCUGGCUCAGAACGAACGUUGGCGGCGUGGAUUAGGCAUGCAAGUCGAACGAAUCCCUUGAGGGUAACUUUGAGGGGGAAGUGGCGAAAGGGGCAGUAAUACAUAGGCAACCUACCUCCGGGACGUGGAUAGCCGGCAGAGAUGCCGGGUAAUACGCGGCGAGUCAGCGGGAAGGCAUCUUCCUGCUGGGAAAUGAAUUUCGCCUGGAGAGGGGCUUAUGCCGUAUUAGCUAGUUGGCGGGGUAAUGGCCCACCAAGGCGAAGAUGCGUAGCGGGUGUGAGAGCACGACCCGCGCCACUGGCACUGAGACACUGGCCAGACACCUACGGGUGGCUGCAGUCGAGGAUCUUCGGCAAUGGGCGCAAGCCUGACCGAGCGACGCCGCGUGGACGAUGAAGGCCUUCGGGUUGUAAAGUCCUGUCGAGGGGGAUAAAACCGCAAGGUUGAUAGAUCCCUGGAGGAAGCACGGGCUAAGUUCGUGCCAGCAGCCGCGGUAAGACGAACCGUGCGAACGUUGUUCGGAAUCACUGGGCUUAAAGGGCGCGUAGGCGGCCGGCAAAGUCAGGGGUGAAAUCCCGCAGCUUAACUGCGGAAGUGCCUUUGAUACUGGUCGGCUCGAGGGAGACAGGGGUCUGUGGAACGGGUGGUGGAGCGGUGAAAUGCGUUGAUAUCACUCGGAACGCCGGUGGCGAAAGCGACGGACUGGAUCUCUACUGACGCUGAGGCGCGAAAGCCAGGGGAGCAAACGGGAUUAGAUACCCCGGUAGUCCUGGCCCUAAACGAUGGGUACUAGAUUGUGGACUUGUCAUGGGUUCCCAGUCGAAGCAAAAGUUUUAAGUACCCCGCCUGGGGAGUAUGGUCGCAAGGCUGAAACUCAAAGGAAUUGACGGGGGCUCACACAAGCGGUGGAGCAUGUGGCUUAAUUCGAGGCUACGCGAAGAACCUUAUCCUAGGCUUGACAUGUGCGAAAGCGGCUGGAAGUAGCGGACGGAAACGCCCCGCGAACGGUAUCCAAUCCGGAACCAGCUACAGGUGCUGCAUGGCUGUCGUCAGCUCGUGUCGUGAGAUGUCGGGUUAAGUCCCAUAACGAGCGAAACCCUUGUCCUUAGUUGCCAAUCAUGGGACUCUAAGGAAACUGCCGGUGUUAAACCGGAGGAAGGCGGGGAUGACGUCAAGUCCUCAUGGCCUUUAUGCCUAGGGCUGCACACGUGCUACAAUGCCGCGCACAAAGGGACGCCAACGCGCAAGCGGGAGCAAAUCCCAAAAAAACGCGGCCCUUUCAGAUCGAAGGCUGCAACUCGCCUUCGUGAAGUUGGAAUCGCUAGUAAUCGCGGGUCAGCAACACCGCGGUGAAUGUGUUCCUGAGCCUUGUACACACCGCCCGUCAAGCCACGAAAGAGCGGAGCGCCCGAAGUCGCGUCAGCGCCGAAGGCGAUACGCUUGAUUGGGACUAAGUCGUAACAAGGUAACCGUAGGGGAACCUGCGGUUG